This 496-nucleotide ribosomal RNA is filed under the name uncultured bacterium. RNAcentral's name for it is "partial 16S ribosomal RNA". It matches the Rfam family "Bacterial small subunit ribosomal RNA", at positions 29 to 507 of the family's 1533-position model. The record is from RNAcentral.
AUGCACGCUGGCGGCGUGCCUAAUCCAUGCCAGUCGCGCGAACAGACGAGGAGCUUGCUCCUCUGACGUUAGCGGCGGACGGGUGAGUAACACGUGGAUAACCUACCUAUAAGACUGGGAUAACUUCGGGAAACCGGAGCUAAUACCGGAUAAUAUAUUGAACCGCAUGGUUCAAUAGUGAAAGACGGUUUUGCUGUCACUUAUAGAUGGAUCCGCGCCGCAUUAGCUAGUUGGUAAGGUAACGGCUUACCAAGGCAACGAUGCGUAGCCGACCUGAGAGGGUGAUCGGCCACACUGGAACUGAGACACGGUCCAGACUCCUACGGGAGGCAGCAGUAGGGAAUCUUCCGCAAUGGGCGAAAGCUUGACGGAGCAACGCCGCGUGAGUGAUGAAGGUCUUCGGAUCGUAAAACUCUGUUAUUAGGGAAGAACAAAUGUGUAAGUAACUAUGCACGUCUUGACGGUACCUAAUCAGAAAGCCACGGCUAACUACGUG